UACGGAGGGUGCAAGCGUUAUCCGGAUUUAUUGGGUUUAAAGGGUCCUUAGGCGGAUCUGUAAGUCAGUGGUGAAAUCUCACAGCUUAACUGUGAAACUGCCAUUGAUACUGCAGGUCUUGAGUGUUAUUGAAGUAGCUGGAAUAAGUAGUGUAGCGGUGAAAUGCAUAGAUAUUACUUAGAACACCAAUUGCGAAGGCAGGUUACUAAGCAACAACUGACGCUGAUGGACGAAAGCGUGGGGAGCGAACAGG
RNAcentral lists this ribosomal RNA (253 nucleotides) under uncultured bacterium. RNAcentral describes it as "partial 16S ribosomal RNA". It matches the Rfam family "Bacterial small subunit ribosomal RNA", at positions 524 to 776 of the family's 1533-position model. The record is from RNAcentral.